UACGGAGGGAGCUAGCGUUGUUCGGAAUUACUGGGCGUAAAGCGCACGUAGGCGGCUUUGUAAGUUAGAGGUGAAAGCCCGGGGCUCAACUCCGGAACUGCCUUUAAGACUGCAUCGCUUGAAUCCGGGAGAGGUGAGUGGAAUUCCGAGUGUAGAGGUGAAAUUCGUAGAUAUUCGGAAGAACACCGGUGGCGUAGGCGACUCGCUGGGCCGCAACUGACACUCAGGGACGAAAGCUAGGGGAGCGAAUGGG
This 253-nucleotide ribosomal RNA is filed under the name uncultured bacterium. Its description in RNAcentral is "partial 16S ribosomal RNA". It matches the Rfam family "Bacterial small subunit ribosomal RNA", at positions 524 to 776 of the family's 1533-position model. The record is from RNAcentral.